GGAUGUGAGGGCGAUCUGGCUGCGACAUCUGUCACCCCAUUGAUCGCCAGGGUUGAUUCGGCUGAUCUGGCUGGCUAGGCGGGUGUCCCCUUCCUCCCUCACCGAUCCAUGUGCGUCCCUCCCGAAGCUGCGCACUCGGUCGAAGAGGACGACCUUCCCCCCUGAGGAGAGGACCGGUCUUCGGUCAAGGGUAUACGAGUAGCUGCGCUCCCCUGCUAGAACCUCCAAACAAGAAAUACCAAUGAUGAGAGAGUCAUUGAUCAGCUGCCU
This 270-nucleotide small nuclear RNA is filed under the name Myotis lucifugus (little brown bat). Its description in RNAcentral is "7SK RNA (ENSMLUG00000025723.1)". It matches the Rfam family "7SK RNA", at positions 1 to 278 of the family's 331-position model. Rfam says of the family: 7SK was discovered as an abundant small nuclear RNA in the mid-70s but a possible function has only recently been suggested. The record is from RNAcentral. Lineage: Eukaryota; Metazoa; Chordata; Mammalia; Chiroptera; Vespertilionidae.